UGGGGAAUAUUGGACAAUGGGGGCAACCCUGAUCCAGCAAUGCCGCGUGUGUGAAGAAGGUCUUCGGAUUGUAAAGCACUUUCGACGGGGACGAUGAUGACGGUACCCGUAGAAGAAGCCCCGGCUAACUUCGUGCCAGCAGCCGCGGUAAUACGAAGGGGGCUAGCGUUGCUCGGAAUGACUGGGCGUAAAGGGCGUGUAGGCGGUUUACACAGUCAGAUGUGAAAUCCCCGGGCUUAACCUGGGAGCUGCAUUUGAUACGUGUAGACUAGAGUGUGAGAGGAGGGUUGUGGAAUUCCCAGUGUAGAGGUGAAAUUCGUAGAUAUUGGGAAGAACACCGGUGGCGAAGGCGGCAACCUGGCUCAUGACUGACGCUGAGGCGCGAAAGCGUGGGGAGCAAACAGGAUUAGAUACCCUGGUAGUCCACGCUGUAAACGAUGUGUGCUAGAUGUUGGGUAACUUUGUUAUUCAGUGUCGCAGUUAACGCGUUAAGCACACCGC
Molecule: ribosomal RNA, 501 nt
Filed under: uncultured bacterium
Lineage: Bacteria
Description: partial 16S ribosomal RNA
Rfam family: Bacterial small subunit ribosomal RNA
Source: RNAcentral